UUGCCCUAGUAACGGCGAGUGAAGCGGCAACAGCUCAAAUUUGAAAUCUGGCCCUAGCGGUCCGAGUUGUAAUUUGUAGAGGAUGCUUUUGGUGAGGUGCCUUCCGAGUUCCCUGGAACGGGACGCCGGAGAGGGUGAGAGCCCCGUACGGUUGGACGCCAAACCUCUGUAUAGCUCCUUCGACGAGUCGAGUAGUUUGGGAAUGCUGCUCUAAAUGGGAGGUAAAUUUCUUCUAAAGCUAAAUACCGGCCAGAGACCGAUAGCGCACAAGUAGAGUGAUCGAAAGAUGAAAAGCACUUUGAAAAGAGGGUUAAAUAGCACGUGAAAUUGUUGAAAGGGAAGCGUUUGCGACCAGACUUUUUCCAGGCGGAUCAUCCGGCGUUCUCGCCGGUGCACUCCGCCUGGUUGAGGCCAGCAUCGGUUUCCUUAGGGGGAUAAAGGCCUGGGGAACGUAGCUCCUUCGGGAGUGUUAUAGCCCCUGGCGUAAUACCCCUCGGGGGACCGAGGAACGCGCUCUGCAAGGAUGCUGGCGUAAUGGUCGUCAACGACCCGUCUUGAAACACGGACCAAGGAGUCGAACAUUUGUGCGAGUGUUUGGGUGUCAAACCCUCACGCGUAAUGAAAGUGAACGGAGGUGAGAGCCCUUACGGGUGCAUCAUCGACCGAUCCUGAUGUCUUCGGAUGGAUUUGAGUAAGAGCAUAACUGUUCGGACCCGAAAGAUGGUGAACUAUGCGUGGAUAGGGUGAAGCCAGAGGAAACUCUGGUGGAGGCUCGCAGCGGUUCUGACGUGCAAAUCGAUCGUCAAAUCUGCGCAUGGGGGCGAAAGACUAUCG
RNAcentral lists this ribosomal RNA (834 nucleotides) under Daldinia eschscholtzii. RNAcentral's name for it is "partial large subunit ribosomal RNA". It matches the Rfam family "Eukaryotic large subunit ribosomal RNA", at positions 75 to 937 of the family's 3401-position model. Lineage: Eukaryota; Fungi; Ascomycota; Sordariomycetes; Xylariales; Hypoxylaceae. The record is from RNAcentral.